CGAGCGGGGGAGAUUGCUUCGGUAACUGACCUAGCGGCGGACGGGUGAGUAAUACUUAGGAAUCUGCCUAUUAAUGGGGGACAACAUCUCGAAAGGGAUGCUAAUACCGCAUACGCCCUACGGGGGAAAGCAGGGGAUCACUUGUGACCUUGCGUUAAUAGAUGAGCCUAAGUCGGAUUAGCUAGUUGGUGGGGUAAAGGCCUACCAAGGCGACGAUCUGUAGCGGGUCUGAGAGGAUGAUCCGCCACACUGGGACUGAGACACGGCCCAGACUCCUACGGGAGGCAGCAGUGGGGAAUAUUGGACAAUGGGGGGAACCCUGAUCCAGCCAUGCCGCGUGUGUGAAGAAGGCCUUAUGGUUGUAAAGCACUUUAAGCGAGGAGGAGGCUCUUGUAGUUAAUACCUACGAUGAGUGGACGUUACUCGCAGAAUAAGCACCGGCUAACUCUGUGCCAGCAGCCGCGGUAAUACAGAGGGUGCGAGCGUUAAUCGGAUUUACUGGGCGUAAAGCGUGCGUAGGCGGCUUUUUAAGUCGGAUGUGAAAUCCCCGAGCUUAACUUGGGAAUUGCAUUCGAUACUGGGAAGCUAGAGUAUGGGAGAGGAUGGUAGAAUUCCAGGUGUAGCGGUGAAAUGCGUAGAGAUCUGGAGGAAUACCGAUGGCGAAGGCAGCCAUCUGGCCUAAUACUGACGCUGAGGUACGAAAGCAUGGGGAGCAAACAGGAUUAGAUACCCUGGUAGUCCAUGCCGUAAACGAUGUCUACUAGCCGUUGGGGCCUUUGAGGCUUUAGUGGCGCAGCUAACGCGAUAAGUAGACCGCCUGGGGAGUACGGUCGCAAGACUAAAACUCAAAUGAAUUGACGGGGGCCCGCACAAGCGGUGGAGCAUGUGGUUUAAUUCGAUGCAACGCGAAGAACCUUACCUGGUCUUGACAUAGUAAGAACUUUCCAGAGAUGGAUUGGUGCCUUCGGGAACUUACAUACAGGUGCUGCAUGGCUGUCGUCAGCUCGUGUCGUGAGAUGUUGGGUUAAGUCCCGCAACGAGCGCAACCCUUUUCCUUAUUUGCCAGCACUUCGGGUGGGAACUUUAAGGAUACUGCCAGUGACAAACUGGAGGAAGGCGG
RNAcentral lists this ribosomal RNA (1120 nucleotides) under Acinetobacter sp. c53. Its description in RNAcentral is "bacterial SSU rRNA". It matches the Rfam family "Bacterial small subunit ribosomal RNA", at positions 63 to 1176 of the family's 1533-position model. RNAcentral also lists the same sequence under 1 other name. The record is from RNAcentral. Lineage: Bacteria; Pseudomonadati; Pseudomonadota; Gammaproteobacteria; Moraxellales; Moraxellaceae.